AGGUCACAACUUUUUUGUUUUACCAAUCACCAAUCACCAAAAUUUGGAUAGUGCAGGCGUUUCUGUUCCCUUUCAAGAGAUAAUUGAUAUGGAUGAUGGAACAUAUGAGGCUAUUGCAGGAAGUGACUUUGUCAUUACUAGAGUUGCAUUUCGAGACAACUCUUUAAAGUACUACAUAAAUGACCGUGGAAGUAAUUUUACAGAGGUCACUAAGAAAUUGAAAGGAAAAGGAGUGGACUUGGACAACAAUCGGUUUUUUAUUCUUUAAGGUGAAGUUGAGCAAAUUUCUCUAAUGAAGCCAAAGGCCAGGAUGAAGGAUGUACCAGCUGGCCAUAUGCGAGUGCACAC
Long non-coding RNA from Magnolia sinica, 348 nucleotides. RefSeq lists it as uncharacterized. Lineage: Eukaryota; Viridiplantae; Streptophyta; Magnoliopsida; Magnoliales; Magnoliaceae. The transcript has 3 exons. The record is from RefSeq and is a predicted model, not a curated record.